GAUGAAGAACGCAGUGAAAUGCGAUACGUAAUGUGAAUUGCAGAAUUCAGUGAAUCAUCGAGUCUUUGAACGCACAUUGCGCCCCCUGGUAUUCCGGGGGGCAUGCCUGUCCGAGCGUCAUUGCUGCCCUCAAGCACGGCUUGUGUGUUGGGCCCCCGCCCCCCGGUUCCCGGGGGGCGGGCCCGAAAGGCAGCGGCGGCACCGCGUCCGGUCCUCGAGCGUAUGGGGCUUCGUCACCCGCUCUUGUAGGCCCGGCCGGCGCUUGCCGACACAUCAAUCUUUUUUCCAGGUUGACCUCGGAUCAGGUAGGGAUACCCGCUGAACUUAAGCAUAUCAAUAAGCGGAGGA
This 348-nucleotide unclassified non-coding RNA is filed under the name soil metagenome. RNAcentral describes it as "partial contains 5.8S ribosomal RNA, internal transcribed spacer 2, and large subunit ribosomal RNA". The stretch from base 1 to 120 matches the Rfam family "5.8S ribosomal RNA", at positions 35 to 154 of the family's 154-position model. The record is from RNAcentral.